AUUGAACGCUGGCGGCAUGCUUUACACAUGCAAGUCGAACGGCAGCGCGGGCUUCGGCCUGGCGGCGAGUGGCGAACGGGUGAGUAAUGCAUCGGAACGUGCCCAGUAGUGGGGGAUAGCCCGGCGAAAGCCGGAUUAAUACCGCAUACGACCUGAGGGUGAAAGCGGGGGACCGAAAGGCCUCGCGCUAUUGGAGCGGCCGAUGUCGGAUUAGCUAGUUGGUGGGGUAAAGGCUUACCAAGGCGACGAUCCGUAGCUGGUCUGAGAGGACGACCAGCCACACUGGGACUGAGACACGGCCCAGACUCCUACGGGAGGCAGCAGUGGGGAAUUUUGGACAAUGGGGGCAACCCUGAUCCAGCCAUGCCGCGUGCGGGAAGAAGGCCUUCGGGUUGUAAACCGCUUUCGCCUGUGACGAAGCGUGAGUGACGGUAAUGGGUAAAGAAGCACCGGCUAACUACGUG
RNAcentral lists this ribosomal RNA (464 nucleotides) under uncultured bacterium. RNAcentral describes it as "partial 16S ribosomal RNA". It matches the Rfam family "Bacterial small subunit ribosomal RNA", at positions 28 to 507 of the family's 1533-position model. The record is from RNAcentral.